CAGCAGCAGCCGCGGUAAUACGAAGGGGGCUAGCGUUGCUCGGAAUUACUGGGCGUAAAGGGAGCGUAGGCGGACAUUUAAGUCAGGGGUGAAAUCCCAGAGCUCAACUCUGGAACUGCCUUUGAUACUGGGUGUCUUGAGUGUGAUAGAGGUAUGUGGAACUCCGAGUGUAGAGGUGAAAUUCGUAGAUAUUCGGAAGAACACCAGUGGCGAAGGCGGCUCACUGGCUCAUACUGGACGCUGAGGUGCGAAAGCGUGGGGAGCAAACAGGAUUAGAUACCCCCGUAGUCCCUGUCUCUUAUAC
Molecule: ribosomal RNA, 304 nt
Filed under: uncultured bacterium
Lineage: Bacteria
Description: partial 16S ribosomal RNA
Rfam family: Bacterial small subunit ribosomal RNA
Source: RNAcentral